This 302-nucleotide long non-coding RNA is filed under the name Gossypium barbadense (sea-island cotton). RNAcentral's name for it is "long non-coding RNA (GBAR_LNC015830)". Lineage: Eukaryota; Viridiplantae; Streptophyta; Magnoliopsida; Malvales; Malvaceae. The record is from RNAcentral.
AAAAAUCUAAGAUCUUUGAGAAGCAGUGACAGGGUUUUGCGCUCAAAAUCACAAGAGAAAUCUAAAGCUACUGAGUUGAGCAAGAAAUCUACUGCUACUGAGUUGAGCAAGAAAUCUACUGCUACUGAGUCGAGCAAGAAAUCUACUGCUACUGAGUCGAGCAAGAAAUCUACUGUUACUGAUUCGAGCAAGAAAUCUACUGCUACUGAGUCGAGCAAGAAACCUACUGCUACUGAGUCGAGCAAGAAAUCUACUGCUACCGAGUCGAGCAAGAAACCUACUGCUACCGAGUCAAGCAAGAA